Molecule: long non-coding RNA, 600 nt
Organism: Papaver somniferum (opium poppy)
Lineage: Eukaryota; Viridiplantae; Streptophyta; Magnoliopsida; Ranunculales; Papaveraceae
Exons: 2
Source: RefSeq, a predicted model, not a curated record
CUUGAGACUUGUCGGUGGGCGCCUAAACAAUUUUCUUUAGCAAAGAAAGGUCCUCGUUGGAGAACUUCAUUAGUUUCUCACCAUCCUCCUUCUCUUUACCCCUAGAUACAAAGCAGAGAAGAGAAGAAUCAAGAAUGUCAGCACCUUUCUCACGUUUUACGAAUUUCAGACCGAUUUCAAGGCUUUUCAGGCAGGUAGAGCAAGAAAUGGAGACUGUAGUAGGUGUACUGCAACCAGGACCUUUGGGAAUUAUUGAACACAAGUUCUCUGCAGAAGAAGUACGGCAAGCAAAGUCUGCAGUUGAGAAAGCUGUAGAAAAUUGGAAGAGGAAUGCUUACUUGGAGAAGAGUAACCCAAUCAUGAAGGAUUAUAUUGAUAUAUGAAAAUAGGUUCUUAUCUAUCUGUUAGCUUUUUCCCUCUUUUCUCUGGAUUUGAUUACGCGGUUUAUAUGAAACGCAUGGAAUGGUGCACGUCAAAUAUCUGCUCUACAGUAUAUGAUAUUUGAAUGCUGCUGUCAAAUAUCUGCUCUACAGUCUAUGAUAUUUGAUGGUAUUAUUUGGAUUCAAAGUUGCUUGAAAAUAUUUUUGUGCUUCAUCUUCA